GACGAACGCUGGCGGCGUGCUUAACACAUGCAAGUCGAACGAAGUGGCGAACGGGUGAGUAACGCGUAAUUAACCUGCCCUUCAGAGGGGGACAACAGUUGGAAACGACUGCUAAUACCGCAUACUGAAGUAGGUGAUUGCGUCGGAUUAGCUAGUUGGAGGGGGAACGGCCGACCAAGGCGAUGAUCAGUAGCCGGUGUGGGAGGAUGAACGGCAACAUUGGGAUUGGGGAACGGCCCAGACUUCUACGGGGGGGAGCAGUGGGGGAUUUUCCGCAAUGGACGAAAGUCUGACGGAGCAACGCCGCGGGAGUGGUGACGGCUUUCGGGUUGGAAAGCUCUGUUAAUCGGGACGCGGUACCGGAAGAGAAAGCCACGGCUAACUACGUGCCAGCAGCCGCGGUAAUAC
RNAcentral lists this ribosomal RNA (408 nucleotides) under uncultured bacterium. RNAcentral's name for it is "partial 16S ribosomal RNA". It matches the Rfam family "Bacterial small subunit ribosomal RNA", at positions 28 to 526 of the family's 1533-position model. The record is from RNAcentral.